CGAGCCGGUGGGCGGCAAACCCAUKGAGGCGCAAGUAACCUGACAGGUGGGACCCYGACCGCAAGGGAGGGAGCNCCAUCGACCGMCCGNGAUCUUCUGUGAAAGRUUUGAGUGUGAGCAUACCUGUUGGGACCCGAAAGAUGGUGAACUAUSCCUGAGCAGGGCGAAGCCAGAGGAAACUCUGGUGGAGGCUCGUAGCGAUACUGACGUGCAAAUCGUUCGUCAGACUUGGGUAUAGGGGCGAAAGACUAAUCGAACCAUCUAGUAGCUGGUUCCCUCCGAAGUUUCCCUCAGGAUAGCUGGAGCUCGUGUAAAAGUUUUAUCAGGUAAAGCGAAUGAUUAGAGGCAUCGGGGGUGUAACNCCCUCGNCCUAUUCUCAAACUUUAAAUAGGUAAGCCGCCGG
This 403-nucleotide ribosomal RNA is filed under the name Cyclodictyon brevifolium. RNAcentral describes it as "partial 26S ribosomal RNA". It matches the Rfam family "Eukaryotic large subunit ribosomal RNA", at positions 687 to 1084 of the family's 3401-position model. The record is from RNAcentral. Lineage: Eukaryota; Viridiplantae; Streptophyta; Bryopsida; Hookeriales; Callicostaceae.